AUCGGGAUGACGUUGGAAAUUCGCAGACUUUCUGACCACGACGUGAUUUCCGCCGUAGUUGCUGAGG
RNAcentral lists this small nucleolar RNA (67 nucleotides) under Euglena gracilis. RNAcentral describes it as "Eg-m19.2". Lineage: Eukaryota; Euglenozoa; Euglenophyceae; Euglenales; Euglenaceae. The record is from RNAcentral.